This 396-nucleotide ribosomal RNA is filed under the name uncultured bacterium. RNAcentral describes it as "partial 16S ribosomal RNA". It matches the Rfam family "Bacterial small subunit ribosomal RNA", at positions 523 to 918 of the family's 1533-position model. The record is from RNAcentral.
AUACGGAGGGUGCAAGCGUUAAUCGGAAUUACUGGGCGUAAAGCGCACGCAGGCGGUUUGUUAAGUCAGAUGUGAAAUCCCCGGGCUCAACCUGGGAACUGCAUCUGAUACUGGCAAGCUUGAGUCUCGUAGAGGGGGGUAGAAUUCCAGGUGUAGCGGUGAAAUGCGUAGAGAUCUGGAGGAAUACCGGUGGCGAAGGCGGCCCCCUGGACGAAGACUGACGCUCAGGUGCGAAAGCGUGGGGAGCAAACAGGAUUAGAUACCCUGGUAGUCCACGCCGUAAACGAUGUCGACUUGGAGGUUGUGCCCUUGAGGCGUGGCUUCCGGAGCUAACGCGUUAAGUCGACCGCCUGGGGAGUACGGCCGCAAGGUUAAAACUCAAAUGAAUUGGCGGGG